Trachymyrmex septentrionalis is the source of this 831-nucleotide long non-coding RNA. RefSeq lists it as uncharacterized. The record is from RefSeq and is a predicted model, not a curated record. The transcript is spliced from 4 exons. Lineage: Eukaryota; Metazoa; Arthropoda; Insecta; Hymenoptera; Formicidae.
GCAGCAUUGGUCAUACUUGACGUGACACCGCAAUUUAUAAAUUUUCGUGAUACGUGUUAUUAUUAAAUUAAAAUCCAGAACUACAGUUCAAAGAGAGUGACUCGGAUUUUGGACGGAUUAUUAUACUGCUAAUUGUUAUAUUGCUGAGGAUGACUACAAAGCAAGUCGAAACAUUCAAGAUUUUGAAAUAAAGAAGACAUCAAAUCUUGUUAUGAAAAAAGAAAUUAGCGCCAUGAUUAGCACAAGGCGGCAGCGACUUAAAUGUGUUUGAACAUAUUUGUCAUACGUUGUCAUUGGAAUACACACAUAUAAUCAAGGGUUUCAAUAGUCUUACUUUAGACCAUACAUAGAAAUUAGCGCCAAUGCUUAUAAUGGUCAAAACUGAAUCCUUAAUGCCGUAGCAGAAAGAUGCGAGUUGAUCCGAGCGAUUUUUGAGGUAAAAGAGUAAACAGACGCUUUUGAUUUGCAAUACGGAACGUACCUACGAGUAUCGUAUACGACAAUACUAACGUUCAAUCAGAAGAUGGCUAGAUGUGCAAACAACAUGACAAAUAGGAGAUACCAAUCUUUGAGUGAAAUGAGCAGUAACACAGGAUAUUAUAUACAAGCAAAAAAAUUAAAAAAGACGGUAAUUAAUCUAGUUAAAACAGUAGCAAGUAGGUCAGUGAGUCAAAACGGUAAAGCUACCGCUAAAACUUUUUAUGCCAAUGCUCGACACUCAUUAGCCUAUAGCGUUUUCGGCUCAACCGGAUUUGCAUCAACUUAGGUUGAAAAAUGCUUCUUGACGUUACACGCUCUACUAGGAGAAACAUACGAAACAUCAUUACUUUA